AUCAUUCCUCAGCCUUUUGGCUAAGAUCAAGUAUAGUAUCUGUUCUAAUCAGUUUAAAAUCUGAUAAAUCCUCUAUCCAAGGACAGUCUAUUAAAUGUUGUUUUGGAGCAGGGAGAUGGAAUGGGAGCUUGCUCCCUCCUCUCCAUGCAUUGACCUAAUAUUGCAGCUACUCCAGGAAGGGUGAACACUCU
This is a small nuclear RNA of Sorex araneus (European shrew), 191 nucleotides long. Its record names the gene U2. It matches the Rfam family "U2 spliceosomal RNA". Rfam says of the family: U2 is a small nuclear RNA (snRNA) component of the spliceosome (involved in pre-mRNA splicing). Complementary binding between U2 snRNA (in an area lying towards the 5' end but 3' to hairpin I) and the branchpoint sequence (BPS) of the intron results the bulging out of an unpaired adenosine, on the BPS, which initiates a nucleophilic attack at the intronic 5' splice site, thus starting the first of two transesterification reactions that mediate splicing. Lineage: Eukaryota; Metazoa; Chordata; Mammalia; Eulipotyphla; Soricidae. The record is from Ensembl.